CCUUGUUGCUUCGGCGGGCCCGCCGUUUCGACGGCCGCCGGGGAGGCCUCGCGCCCCCGGGCCCGCGCCCGCCGAAGACCCCAACAUGAACGCUGUUCUGAAAGUAUGCAGUCUGAGUUGAUUAUCAUAAUCAGUUAAAACUUUCAACAACGGAUCUCUUGGUUCCGGCAUCGAUGAAGAACGCAGCGAAAUGCGAUAAGUAAUGUGAAUUGCAGAAUUCAGUGAAUCAUCGAGUCUUUGAACGCACAUUGCGCCCCCUGGUAUUCCGGGGGGCAUGCCUGUCCGAGCGUCAUUGCUGCCCUCAAGCACGGCUUGUGUGUUGGGCCCCGUCCCCUCCCCCGGGGACGGGCCCGAAAGGCAGCGGCGGCACCGCGUCCGGUCCUCGAGCGUAUGGGGCUUUGUCACCCGCUCUGUAGGCCCGGCCGGCGCCAGCCGACACCCAACUUUAUUUUCUAAGGUUGACCUCGGAUCAGGUAGGGAUACCCGCUGAACUU
RNAcentral lists this ribosomal RNA (494 nucleotides) under Aspergillus lentulus. Its description in RNAcentral is "eukaryotic LSU rRNA". The stretch from base 139 to 292 matches the Rfam family "5.8S ribosomal RNA". Lineage: Eukaryota; Fungi; Ascomycota; Eurotiomycetes; Eurotiales; Aspergillaceae. The record is from RNAcentral.